UGUUUUCCCAUGCUAAUGACUAUCAAUAUGAUACUAUACGCGGGAAAAAGGGUGGUUUGACUCUUGAGGAAAGAGAAAGUCUAAUUACAAAAGUGUUUCCUUCAAUAUAUACAACACUUUAUGACGCCCUGUGUGAUUAUGCAAAAAAUUCUAGUUGGGGAUAUACAGAGUCAUUUUCAGAUGUUCUUAAAAGAUUUUCAAGUUGUGGAUCUCAAUAUUGAUUUCCUGUUCCUGUUUGCAGGUAGGUGAAGGGGGUCGAUAAAUGAAUUGAUCCACUAGAUGCAUACCCUCUGAUGUCUGCAACACUAGUAGCAAGCCUGAUUUAUUUUUUGGUUCAGACAGAUCAUUGUGUUGCUUGAGAUUUAAGUAUAGAGCUGACUUUUUCUUAUGUGAGCUAAGCUACUUCUGGAGAAGUUAAACAUGGAACUACUGUUGUUUACGCAUGGGGUUUUUAUUCUCAAAAGAAAUAUGUCUGUAAAAUUGUACCUGAAUUUUCUAUCCCCGGAUCAAUGUGCAGCAAGUUGAGACCUUAAAAUUUAUGCUUCUAAACAUAUCUGUUAAUUUUAUGCUAAAGCUUGACUCAUUGAGCUUCCUACUUAUGCACUCAAUUUGACAAUAAUAAUGCUAGCAACAAUCUACUUUUUCUACUUCUAGUAUAUGAAAUUAAAAGAGGU
This is a long non-coding RNA of Chenopodium quinoa (quinoa), 674 nucleotides long. RefSeq lists it as uncharacterized. The transcript is spliced from 4 exons. NCBI's taxonomy places the organism in Eukaryota, Viridiplantae, Streptophyta, Magnoliopsida, Caryophyllales, Amaranthaceae. The record is from RefSeq and is a predicted model, not a curated record.